Andrographis paniculata is the source of this 286-nucleotide long non-coding RNA. RefSeq lists it as uncharacterized. The transcript has 3 exons. Lineage: Eukaryota; Viridiplantae; Streptophyta; Magnoliopsida; Lamiales; Acanthaceae. The record is from RefSeq and is a predicted model, not a curated record.
GGACGACCAAAACAGAAGAACGCGAAGGAGAAAGAAGAGAAAGAAGAAAAGAAGGAAAGAAAACGAUUUAGCCGUUCGAUUUCAAUUCCGACUUCGGUGUACGUUGGAAGAGAUUUGGGUGAAAUUGCGGGAGCUAGGGAGUGUCGAUAAGAGGUAUGCAUGGCACAUCCGAGACAGGGGACGUCUCGAGAUAUAGAAAGAUAGGCUGAGUGAGUGAACUUACGUAUAUUGUAUUAUAUGUAAAUUUUUAACCGGAAAAACCUCUUGCUAAGGGGUGUGUUUUGUA